UUGAUAGAUGGCGACCGGCGCACGGGUGAGUAACGGCGUAUCCAAACCUUCCCCUAUAGUAGAGAAUAGCCCGGCGAAAGGUCGGAUUAAUGCUCUAUGUUGUAUUUAGAAGACAUCUGAAGAAUACCAAAGGUUUACCGCUAUAGGAUGGGGAUGCGUCUGAUUAGGUAGUAGGCGGGGUAACGGCCCACCUAGCCGACGAUCAGUAGGGGUUCUGAGAGGAAGGUCCCCCACAUUGGAACUGAGACACGGUCCAAACUCCGUACGGGAGGCAGCAGUGAGGAAUAUUGGUCAAUGGACGAAAGUCUGAACCAGCCAAGUAGGCCGUGCAGGAUGACGGCCCUAUGGGUUGUAAACUGCUUUUAUAUAGGGAUAAAGUCGGGGACGUGUCCCCGUUUGUAGGUACUAUAUGAAUAAGGACCGGCUAGUUCCGUGCCAGCAGCGGC
RNAcentral lists this ribosomal RNA (446 nucleotides) under uncultured bacterium. RNAcentral's name for it is "bacterial SSU rRNA". It matches the Rfam family "Bacterial small subunit ribosomal RNA", at positions 81 to 518 of the family's 1533-position model. The record is from RNAcentral.